GGGCUGCAGUCGAGAAUCUUUUGCAAUGGGCGCAAGCCCGACAAUGCGACGCCGCGUGAGCGAUUAAGGCCUUCGGGUUGUAAAGCUCUGUUUGCCUGGAAUAAAUCCAGCGGUCGAAUAGGCCAAAGGGAUGAAGGUACAGGCAGAGGAAGCCACGGCUAACUCCGUGCCAGCAGCCGCGGUAAUACGGAGGUGGCAAGCGUUGUUCGGAUUUAUUGGGUGUAAAGGGCAUGUAGGUGGUUAUGUAAGUCGAGCGUGAAAUCCUUUGGCUUAACCAAAGAACUGCACUUGAAACUGCAUAACUUGAGUUCGGGAGAGGAGAGCGGAAUUCCCGGUGUAAGAGUGAAAUCUGUAGAUAUCGGGAGGAACACCAGUGGCGUAGGCGGCUCUCUGGACCGACACUGACACUGAAAUGCGAAAGCUAGGGGAGCAAACAGGAUUAGAUACCCUAGUAGUC
Molecule: ribosomal RNA, 457 nt
Filed under: uncultured microorganism
Description: bacterial SSU rRNA
Rfam family: Bacterial small subunit ribosomal RNA
Source: RNAcentral